Molecule: ribosomal RNA, 382 nt
Filed under: uncultured eukaryote
Lineage: Eukaryota
Description: partial 18S ribosomal RNA
Rfam family: Eukaryotic small subunit ribosomal RNA
Source: RNAcentral
CAAUAGCGUAUAUUAAAGUUGUUGCAGUUAAAAAGCUCGUAGUUGGAUUUCUGGUGAGAUGGAUUAUGUCUAGGUCGAAAGAUCUUGCUCAUGGUUCGUUUUGCCCUUCUUGUCAGGAACCCGCUGAGAUUCGCGUCUUGUCGGUGGAAUGGCAUCGUUUACUGUGAAAAAAUUAGAGUGUUCAAAGCAGGCAUCGCCGUUGAAUACAUUAGCAUGGAAUAAUAAGAUAAGACUUUGGUGGUCUAUUUUGUUGGUUUGCACGCCAAAGUAAUGAUUAAUAGGGAUAGUUGGGGGUAUUCGUAUUCUAUUGCUAGAGGUGAAAUUCUUAAAUUUAUGGAAGACGAACUACUGCGAAAGCAUUUACCAAGGAUGUUUUCAUUAA